Abrus precatorius (Indian licorice) is the source of this 107-nucleotide small nucleolar RNA. The record is from RefSeq and is a predicted model, not a curated record. Lineage: Eukaryota; Viridiplantae; Streptophyta; Magnoliopsida; Fabales; Fabaceae.
AGCUCAUGAUAAGGACAUCUUCUCAAAAGUUCUUUAAAUCUAUCACAUGCCUCUUGCAAUGUUUCAUCUUCCAUUUGAAAAAAAGCUAGAAUUUCUUGCCUCAGCUU